CAGUCGCCGCGGUAAUACCGAGGAUGCAAGCGUUAUCCGGAAUGAUUGGGCGUAAAGUGUCUGUAGGUGGCUUUUCAAGUCCGCCGUCAAAUCCCAGGGCUCAACCCUGGACAGGCGGUGGAAACUACCAAGCUGGAGUAUGGUAGGGGCAGAGGGAAUUUCCGGUGGAGCGGUGAAAUGCGUUGAGAUCGGAAAAAACACCAACGACGAAAGCACUCUGCUGGGCCGACACUGACACUUAGAGACGAAAGCUAGGGGAGCAAAUGGGAUUAGAUACCCCGGUAGUCCCUGUCUCUUAUAC
Molecule: ribosomal RNA, 301 nt
Filed under: uncultured bacterium
Lineage: Bacteria
Description: partial 16S ribosomal RNA
Rfam family: Bacterial small subunit ribosomal RNA
Source: RNAcentral